Non-coding RNA from Myodes glareolus (Bank vole), 8675 nucleotides. Lineage: Eukaryota; Metazoa; Chordata; Mammalia; Rodentia; Cricetidae. The record is from RefSeq and is a predicted model, not a curated record.
GUGACGUCAGCCAGGUGCCGGGCAUCUCCGGCCCGGCUUCCCGCGAGCGACACUCGGUGGUGCGGGUAGCGUGUGGUUGGGUGUCCGUCGAGCCGACUGUGGUGGACGCCGGGCGGCGAAGGCCGUUCCCGAGCCGCGGCCUCGAGGCGGUUCCCGGCGGCUGGAGCAGCAGGGCGCGGGCCCGGUAAUGUUUUACCGCGACCGGCGACGUGGGCCAGGCGAGGAGUGACCUGCAGUGUGAGUGGCUGAGGCCACAGAGACACCCAGACAGCAGACUGCAGCACUGUGCAUCCAGCACUCGCAGCUUCCGGUUCCUGAAUCAGAAAAAAACUCAACCUUAAAACCCUUUCUUCAGAACACUCAGUUCCCAGCAUUCGCUGUGGAUGGGGUUCUCCUUUGACCUCGCACAAGUUCAUACUGCACACCUGGGGCUCUGUUACUACUAAAGAGAAGAUGGCGAUGACCGCGACAACUGUAGUGGUUCCUGCUGAGUGGAUCAAGAACUGGGAGAAAUCGGGGAGAAGCGAGUUUUUGCGUUUAUGCCGGAUUCUCAGUGAAAGUAAAAGCCGCGACACUUUGGCUUGUAGAGAUUUCCAACAAGCUCUCUAUGAGUUAUCAUACCAUGUCAUUAAAGGAACUUUAAAGCCGGAACAAGCAUCCAGUGUUCUCAGUGACAUCAGUGAAUUUUGUGAAGAUAUUCCACUUAUUCUUGCCGAUAUAUUCUGCAUAUUAGAUAUUGAGACGAAUUGUUUAGAAGAAAAGAGCAAGAGAGAUCAUUUUACACAGUUGGUAUUAGCAUGUUUAUAUUUAGUUUCAGACACAGUUCUAAAGGAACGCUUGGAUCCAGAAACAUUGGAGUCGUUAGGCCUUAUCAAACAAUCGCAGCAGUUCAAUCAGAAGUCAGUUAAAAUCAAGACGAAACUCUUUUACAAACAACAGAAGUUCAAUUUGUUAAGAGAAGAAAAUGAAGGUUAUGCCAAGCUUAUUGUUGAAUUGGGGCAAGAUUUAUCUGGAAAUAUUACUAGUGAUUUAAUCUUAGAAAUUCUCAAAUCUUUAAUAGGUUGCUUUAAUCUAGACCCCAAUAGAGUUUUGGAUAUCAUAUUAGAGGUGUUUGAGUGUAGGCCAGAACACCAUGAUUUCUUCAUAGCUUUAUUAGAAGCUUAUAUGAAUAUGUGUGAACCACAAACAUUGUGUCAUAUUCUUGGGUUCAAAUUCAAGUUUUACCAGGAACCAAAUGGUGAGACUCCAUCAUCUUUAUAUACAGUUGCAGCAGUACUUCUGCAGUUUAAUCUUAUCGAUUUGGAUGAUCUUUAUGUACACCUUCUUCCAGCUGAUAGUUGCAUUGUGAAUGAAUACAAACGAGAAAUUGUGGAAGCUAAACACAUUGUCAGAAAACUUACAAUGGUUGUAUUGCCUUCUGACAAAAGUGAAGAACGAGAGAAAGAAAAGAAAAAAGAUGAUAAAGUAGAGAAGGCACCUGACAAUCAAAAACUUGGUUUGUUGGAAGCCUUGUUAAUUAUUGGUGAUUGGCAGCAUGCACAGAGUAUUAUGGAUCGAAUGCCUCCAUACUAUGCAGCGUCACAUAAAGUAAUAGCCCUUGCUAUUUGCAAUCUUAUACACAUAACUAUUGAACCUCUUUACCGAAGAGUUGGUGUUCCUAAAGGUGCUAAAGGUUCACCUGUCAAUGCUUUACAAAACAAGAAGUCACCAAAGCCAGCAGAGAGCUUUGAAGACUUAAGGAGAGAUGUAUUCAGUAUGUUCUGUUAUCUCGGUCCCCACCUUUCUCAUGAUCCCAUCUUAUUUGCAAAGGUUGUGCGCAUAGGCAAGUCAUUUAUGAAGGAAUUUCAGUCUGAUGGGAAGCAAGAAAAUAAAGAGAAAAUGGAAGUCAUUUUUAGUUGUUUGCUUAGCAUAACUGACCAGGUACUACUUCCAUCUCUUUCUUUGAUGGAUUGCAAUGCGUGUAUGUCCGAGGAACUAUGGGGAAUGUUUAAAACAUUUCCUUAUCAGCAUAGAUACCGCUUAUAUGGCCAGUGGAAGAAUGAGACUUACCAUAGUCACCCACUUUUAGUAAAAAUUAAAGCCCACACAGUAGACAGAGCCAAGUACAUUAUGAAGCGUCUAACCAAGGAAAAUGUGAAGCCUUCAGGAAGACAGAUUGGGAAACUGAGCCACAGCAAUCCAACCAUUUUGUUUGAUUAUGUCUUGUCACAAAUACAGAAAUACGAUAACUUAAUAACACCAGUGGUAGACUCAUUGAAAUAUCUCACUGCGUUGAACUAUGAUGUUUUGGCCUAUUGUAUCAUUGAAGCAUUAGCUAAUCCAGAAAAAGAAAGAAUGAAGCAUGAUGACACAACCAUCUCAAGCUGGCUUCAGAGCCUGGCUAGUUUCUGUGGUGCAGUUUUUCGUAAAUACCCAAUUGAUCUUGCUGGUCUUCUUCAGUAUGUAGCCAAUCAAUUAAAGGCAGGCAAAAGUUUUGACCUGCUUAUAUUGAAAGAAGUGGUACAAAAAAUGGCAGGAAUAGAAGUUACAGAGGAAAUGACAAUGGACCAGCUAGAGGCUAUGACUGGUGGGGAGCAACUGAAAGCUGAGGGUGGAUAUUUUGGCCAGAUAAGAAACACUAAAAAAUCCUCUCAGAGAUUGAAGGAUGCACUGCUGGACCAUGACCUUGCCCUUCCUCUCUGUUUGCUUAUGGCCCAGCAGAGGAAUGGUGUGAUCUUUCAGGAAGGCGGAGAGAAACAUUUGAAGCUUGUAGGAAAACUGUAUGACCAGUGUCAUGAUACUUUGGUACAGUUUGGUGGGUUUUUAGCUUCAAAUUUAAGCACAGAUGAUUACAUAAAGAGAGUACCUUCAAUUGAUGUACUGUGUAAUGAAUUUCAUACACCCCAUGAUGCAGCAUUUUUUCUAUCUCGGCCAAUGUAUGCGCACCAUAUUUCAUCAAAGUAUGAUGAACUUAAGAAAUCAGAAAAGGGUAGUAAACAGCAACAUAAAGUUCAUAAAUACAUUACAUCAUGUGAGAUGGUGAUGGCUCCUGUCCAUGAAGCAGUGAUCUCCUUACACAUUUCCAAAGUCUGGGAAGAUAUCAGCCCUCAAUUUUAUACCACGUUCUGGUCUCUGACAAUAUAUGACCUUGCAGUUCCACACACUAGCUAUGAACGAGAAGUCAAUAAACUUAAGAUCCAGAUGAAAGCAAUUGAUGACAAUCAAGAAAUGCCUCUGAAUAAAAAGAAAAAAGAGAAAGAGCGCUGUACUGCCCUUCAGGACAAGCUUCUUGAAGAAGAAAAGAAACAGACGGAGCAUGUGCAGCGAGUUCUACAGAGACUGAAAUUGGAAAAGGACAACUGGCUCUUAGCAAAAUCUACUAAAAAUGAGACCAUCACAAAGUUUCUCCAGCUGUGUAUAUUUCCUCGUUGUAUUUUUUCAGCAAUUGAUUCUGUUUACUGUGCGCAUUUUGUUGAGUUGGUCCAUCAACAGAAGACUCCAAAUUUCUCCACACUUCUCUGCUAUGAUCGAGUUUUCUCUGAUAUAAUUUACAUGGUUGCUAGCUUUACUGAAAAUGAAGCUAGUCGAUAUGGUAGAUUUCUUUGCUGCAUGUUAGAGACGGUGACUAGGUGGCAUAGUGACAGAUCUACUUAUGAGAAGGAAUGUGGAAACUAUCCAGGAUUCCUUACUAUAUUACGAGCAACUGGAUUUGAUGGUGGAAAUAAAGCGGAUCAGUUAGAUUAUGAGAAUUUUCGGCAUGUUGUACAUAAAUGGCAUUAUAAACUAACCAAGGCGUCGGUACAUUGCCUUGAAACAGGUGAAUAUACUCAUAUCAGAAAUAUCUUGAUUGUGCUCACAAAAAUACUGCCAUGGUACCCCAAAGUUUUAAAUCUGGGACAGGCUUUGGAAAGAAGAGUACAUAAAAUCUGCCAAGAAGAGAAAGAAAAGAAGCCAGAUCUGUAUGUACUAGCAAUGGUCUACUCUGGGCAGCUGAAAAAUAGAAAGUCGUACAUGAUACCUGAAAAUGAAUUUCAUCACAAAGAUCCUCCUCCAAGAAAUGCUGUUUCAAGUGUACCAAAUGGACCUUGUAGUGGGCUGCCUUCUUCUAUAGGAAACACAUCUAAGUCAGAUGAAAGCAGUACUGAGGAGACUGACAAGUCAAGGGAAAGGUCUCAGUGUGGCCUGAAAGCUGUCACUAAAGCCUCUAGUGCCGUACCAAAAGGGAAUUCAAACAAUGGAAACAGCGGCUCCAACACCAAAGCUGUUAAGGAAAAUGAUAAAGAAAAGGGGAAAGAGAAGGAAAAAGAGAAAAAAGAAAAGACCUCAGCUGUUAUUCCAGAGGCUAGGGUUCUUUGUAAAGACAAUAAAGAAAAAUCCAAGGAAGAGCAACCAAAUAAAGAUGAGAAAAUAAGAGAGACCAAGGAAAGAAUGCCUAAAUCUGACAAAGAUAAGGAAAAAUUAAAGAAGGAGGAAAAAGCUAAAGAUGAGAAGUUCAGGAUCACUGUCCCUAACAUAGAUUCAAAGUCCACUCAAGAAAGAGAAAAAGAGAAAGAGCCAUCAAGAGAAAGAGAUUUAGCAAAGGAAAUGAAAUCAAAAGAAAAUAUUAAAGGAGGAGAAAAAACACCAAUUUCUGGGUCCUUGAAAUCACCUGUUUCCCGAACAGAUAAUGCAGAGCCCGAAAGAGAAAAACGUCGCAAGGUAGAUUCCCAUCCUUCUCCAUCCCAUUCUUCCACAAUAAAGGACAGUCUCAACAAACUCAAGGAGUCUUCAGCAAAGCUCUACAUCAACCAUGCUCCACCUCCGUUGUGCAAGAGUAAGGAGAGAGAAAUGGACAAGAAAGAUUUGGACAAGUCGAGGGAAAGAUCCAGAGAGAGAGAAAAAAAAGAAGAAAAGGACCGGAAAGAGAGGAAAAGGGAUUAUUCAAACAAUGACCGGGAAGUGCCUCUAGACUUAGUCAAAAGGCGGAAAGAUGAAAAUGGAAUAUUGGGGACUUCAAAGCACAAAAGUGAAAGCCCCUGUGAGUCUCCUUAUCCAAAUGAGAAAGACAAGGAAAAAAAUAAGUCAAAAUCCUCAGGCAAAGAAAAAGGUGAUUUCUUUAAACCUGAUAAGGUGGAUAAAGUAUCUAGUGGGAAAAAGGAGUCUGGGCAUGAUAAAGAAAAGGUAGAAAAGAAAGAGAAAUGGGACAGUUGUGGAGAUAAGGAUGAGAAGAAGCAUCAUAAGUCCUCAGACAAGCACAGAUAAUGAAGACUUUGAGCCAAGAGUGGGCAGGCCUCCAGGCUGAAGGACUCCCAGCAGAGGAUGCCAGAGCUCUCGGUCACUCUCAAAACUCAAUUACGAGCUCCUGGUGCUGUUCAUCUUAUGAGAAUCUGCAUUACAUCAGAAGAUGAAUAUGCAUCCCCAUCCUUUUGAGACAUUGCAAAGUCAAUGGUUUUCAGAACAUUAUUUUUACCUCCAGGCAGUUUCUUGCAGCAAGAUCCCUGUGCGUACAUUUUUUUUUCUUGAAAUGACACCAUCCAGAAACAGCAUUUAUGAAAUUUUCACCAGCUGAUUCUUGGAUCACCCUUGGAAAGGAAAAAGGAAUUCUCUUUUCUUCAGUGGAAGACUUCUGGGAGGGCCUGCUGUGCGUUUGCCAAUAUAUAAGUAGGCCAUGGUGCAUUGUUGAAGUUACUGUUCUGCCUUCAAAGAAUGACUUAGUACCAGUUAUAGAAAAUAUCUUGCAGGUGCCUUGCAACUAUUUAGGUCUUCAGAGAUUCAUUACCUAUUUAAUCUCCAUAGAAAACUACAAGACCCAUACAGGACCAUAUGAAGGCUUAAUCCAGCUCUGUCUUAAUCUACCAGUGCCUGAGCUCUGGGUGAACGUUUGGCACCGAUCUCCAGCAGAUCUGCAAUGCGGUGAUUGAAUGAGCUGCCUCCAAGCUGCUUCUGGCAACAGAAUUCAUAGACCAAUUGGAAUGUCCCCUCUCACCAGAGGUGCUCUGCUUUUACACACGUGAAUAUGAGGAGUGGCUGAACAGUGCUCUUCUUCCUUCAGAUCCUUCCAGGGCACUGACAGUAGACAAGGUUAUCCGACCAGAGCAGUAUGCACUUCAUGUACACUGAGGAUUCCCCUGUUAUCCACACAUGGCCAGAUAGAUUUGUUCCUCUUCGCAGAGGUCUGCCCACAUUUCUCAGUUUGAUCCACCUUUUCAUUCGUCUGUCCUAUCCCAUGGACCUGUGUCCAGUCUAAAUCAUAACCAAGUUCCUGGGUGUAUGAUUCUCAGUGUGGUCACUUGUCUGGCUGAAUGCAGAGGCUACUGAGACCACCAAUUCCCCUGCUCCAGCCAUAGGGUUUGAUGAGGUAAAAAUCCUUUGGAUGUGGUUCCCCACUUUGGCGCCCAAGCUAGAAAGUGCAGGGAACCCCUGCGGAGUUCACACUUCUCAUAGAUUGUUUCUGCAGCACCAGAUUCUGUGUCUGCCCCUUGCCAGGGUUUUCUUUCUCUUUUUUGCUUAAGACCCUGUUGAGCAAGAUUCUUCUACCCCACCUACCCUGUCACCAGGUGCAAAAUCGGUUUUUCUUUUACAAAUAGAAAGUGUAGUAUUUCUGUAUUUUAUUACAAAAUUCUGUCUGAUUUUGUACUCCCUUUUCUUUCUGCACUACCCUCCUGUCCCCGUAGCCAUCUGCCUGUGGUUCAGCCUUUCUCUAGGAGUUGCAUGAAUGCAUUGGAUAGUUCUCAUCUGCCACCUUCCCGAGCUGCUGAGGACUCAUUCUUUUUGUCUGAUAUAAAAUCUAUGCUUCUCUAGUUUAUGCUAAUGAUACUAAGUUUAUAUUGUACAAGGGCAUAUCUGAAGGAGGCUUGUCCAUUUUGAACCCUUGCUUUCAAUACCUUUUACAUUGAUGAAGGUACUUAUUUCUUAGAGUUAUUGAAGACAAUCCAAAGAAAUUUAGCACACUCAGGCUGUUUCAGAGUGGGCCUUCUGAUAUCUACUUCUAUCUCUGCCCUGAGCAAUUGUUGUGGACAAAGUCUUUUUUUUAACCUGGUUUUAAUCCUGGUUUCCGUGAGGAUAUCUAGAUCAUUUUAUGGAACUAUAUCUGAAUUACAUUAUGGUAUAUAUUUUUUUGUUGACCAGAUUAUGUCAGCUACCCAGUAUAUACUCUAUUUAGCAUUGUUUAGACAGAAAUUUAGUAAAAGUCAAUUUUAGAGAAAAGGUAUUAAAUGAUCUCAAAAUCUGGGUUUUUGUUUUGUUUUGUGUGUGUGUUGAUAACAGUGUUGAUCUUCUAACACACCUUUUCCUAGUUCCUAGAUAGCAUAAGCACAUCCUCAAUCUGCGGUGCCUUUUCUGAUGUACUACUUCAUCGCACAUCAUUGCUAAGAAAAAUGUGUACAGCUCCUACUAUGUGCCAGACCCUGUUCACAGAUAACCUCCUCUUCCCUCACAGAAUGCCUCUGAGUAGACCAUCUCUACAGUGCGAACCUUUAAAGAACAACUUCCCGUUAAAUUACAACACAGAAGAUGAAUGCCAUCAUUGUGGCUGUCAGCGGUGUUUCAGACAAUGCAGGCUUUGGGGGCUGUGGACUGUGAAGCCCUGGGAAGGGGAGGAAACUAUCCUGGAGCAAACUUUGUGAUACGAUGUUACUCAUUGCUCUUCAAAUUCAUGUUCUAACAGGACCAUGAGCCAGCUCUCACAGCCGUGUCAUGCUGUGCCGAAGACCUCUGUAGCUCUACUGUUAUGUUCUUCACUGUUUGUGGCACACUCCCAGUUGGCAUAACUCAUCUUUGGCACUUAAUUGGAUGACUGAAGUGUGUUCCAAGAAUACUUUGCUGUUGUCAACCUGGGGCCUUUCUUCUGCUCUGCAGAGUGCCUCGUUCUAAGAUGAAUUCUUGGUGACAAGGGUGUUGCUGACCCAAGUUUGGAGGCAGAAGUCUCUCUGAAACAUGCUGUGAGGGAGAACUGGGCUCCAUUAGCCUGCUCUUCUUUGCCCCUGCAUGGUGAAGUCACUGUUUGGUUUCCACCAGGGAUAGGGAUGUGCUGGUUUGUGUCUUAAUCAUCUUUAGGAGGGACCGAGGCAGUCAUCAUGGAGCAUGGCCAGACUUGACACCGGACACUGAGUAUGAUCUUCAGCAGAUGAUGGAUGGAGUCAUGCCCACCCUGACUGACAGUAUAGCAGCAAACCCUGAGUAGCGUGGUCCUCUGAAUUGUGGUCUCCUGCAGCCUGGGAAGAGCAUGAACAGAGAAAUGGAACAUCCACUGCAGUAUGGUGUCCCAGUCCCAGGUGCUGAUCAUAAGGCACGAGAUCGUGGAGCUGGAAGAGACAUGAGACAGGUGGUGACAGUGAGGUCACAGGGAACAGAUGAACUACUAAUGCAGUGCACCAACGGUUGGAGUGUUGGAGCUGAUGAUGCAAUGCCCCGUCAGGUCAGCAUCUUCAGACGACAAUGAGACCCAGAAGUCCUCCCCCUCCUUCCAGUCUGCAGUGGACCUAGAAGUCGGAGACAGAAAUGGGGGCGUCAGGAUCCACAUGUGAUAAUCCACUGUCUGGUUCUGAGUGGAUUUGCCAUAACAAGUACAUUAUUUAUGCCUGAUAAACAUAUGAUGCUGGUCUUUAUAACUAAUCAUUAAUCUUCUGCACUUGAUUUUAUUUUCUAUAAACUUUACCUAUGGAUGAAAGGAAGACUUCCUCCCAUGACAGAUCUAGACUUUGAAAUAUUGAACCAAG